CAGGAAGUUCCAUUAAGGGCGCAUGGUGGAUGCCUUGACUGAAUGGAGCGAUGAAAGACGUGGUCUGGCUGCGAUAAGUUUCGGGGAGGUGCCAAACAACCUUCGAUCCGAAAAUUUCUGAAUGGGGGAACCCCAUCGAGUAACACUCGAUGACCUUGUACUUGAUACAAGGAGCACACCCGGGGAAUUGAAACAUCUUAGUACCCGGAGGAAUAGAAACCAAUAGGUAUUUCCUGAGUAGCGGCGAGCGAAACGGAAGAAGCCCAAACCUUACUGCUUGCAGUAGGGGGUUGUAAGGCGUUAGUGCUGCAUUUAUGUAGGAAGAGUUACAAAAUAUGUUGUUAAAAGAACAACCUGGGAAGGUUGACCCUAGAGGGUAAUAGUCCCGUAUUUGAAAAUGACAUAUCUCUUUAGCUAACGUUCUUGAGUAGCUCGGGACACGAAUAGCCCGAGUGAAUCUGCCAGAACUAACUGGUAAGGCUAAAUAUACAUUCAGAUCGAUAGUGAACAAGUACCGUGAGGGAAAGGUGAAAAGAACCCCGAUGAGGGGAGUGAAAUAGAACUGAAACCAUGUGUCUACAAGGAGUCGAAGAGGUCUUGCGCCUCGACGGCGUGCCUAUUGAAGAAUGAGCCAACGAGUUAAUGCAUAUGGCUGGCUAAGCCCUUCUCGGGUGGAGCCACAGCGAAAGCGAGUGUGAAUAGCGCGAAUUAUAGUCGUAUGGAUUAGACCCGAAAUCAGGUGAGCUUACCAUGAGCAGGGUGAAGGAGUUCGAAAGAUCUCUGGAGGCCCGAACCGUUGCGUCGCGUAACGCGCUCGGAUGACUUGUGGUAAGGAGUGAAAAGCUAAUCGAACUUGGUAAUAGCUGGUUCUCUCCGAAACAGCUUUAGGGUUGGCGUCACGUGUUCCUACUGGGGGUAGAGCACUGGAAGGUGUGAACAGGGCGAAAGCUCGUCACUCCUAUCAAACUCCGAAUACCAGUAGUUAAAAGCGUGGCAGUUAGAGUCAGGGGGCGAAGCUCCUGUGCUCAAAAGGGAAACAGCCCAGAUCGCAAGUUAAGGUCCCUAAAUUGAUACUAAGUACAAGCGAGGAGGUGAGGUUUCUUUGACAGUGAGGAGGUUGGCUUAGAAGCAGCCACCCUUUAAAGAUAGCGUAACAGCUCACUCACUCAGAGACCUUGCGCCGAAGAUGAUCGGGGUUAAGUAUCGUACCGAAACUGCGGGCUUGUGAAUUUCAUUCAGGACAUGUUUACAUGUCCUGAAUGAAAUUCAUGAGCGGUAGGAGAGCGUUCCAUUCGCGAUGAAGCCAAAGGGGUGACCCAUGGUGGAGCAUAUGGAAGUGAGAAUGUUGGCACGAGUAACCGCAUUGUGGGUGAGAUUCCCACACGCCGAAAUACCGAGGUUUCCUGGGCUAUGAAGAUCAGCUCAGGGUUAGUCGGGCCUAAGCCGAUCCCGAACGGGGGAGGCGAUGGACAUACGGUUAAUAUUCCGUAACCUGCGCACUGUGCGAUGGAGUGACGGGGGAAACAAGUACGAGCACCUUACUGGAUUGGUGUUUUUUGUUCUAAGAGAGGAUACAUAGGAAAAUCCGUGUAUCACAUACUUUCGAGAACCGAAGAAAUUCUCUAGUUCGCUAGAGGAGAUUCGUGCGAAGAGCCCUCCAAGAAAAGCUUCUAAGCUUCAACAGUGUGUGGACCGUACCGCAAACCAACACAGGUGGUAGAGUCGAGAAGACUAAGGCGAACGGGUGAAAGUUCCUCAAGGAACUCGGCAAAAAAGCGACCGUAACUUAGGGAUAAGGUCUGCCUGCUGCUUUCGAGUAGUAGGCCGCAGCGAAAGAGUCCUGGCGACUGUUUAUCAAAAACACAGCUCCGUGCGAACUCGUAAGAGGAUGUAUACGGGGUGACGCCUGACCAAUGCCGGAAGGUUAAACAUGGAUGGUGUAUGAAGUUUACUUUGUAUGCUGGGCUAUGUAAGCCCCGGUGAAUGUCGGCCGUAACUAUAACGGUCCUAAGGUAGCGUAAUUCCUUGUCUAGUAAUUUUAGACGUGCACGAAUGGCGUAACGACUGGGACACUGUCUCGAGGAACUGCCCGGUGAAAAUGCAAUAGCGGUAAAGAUGCCGCUUACCUGCAGCAGGACGGAAAGACCCCAGGAGCUUUACUACAGCUUGAUAUUGGGGGCGUGUGAACAAUGCGUAGCAUAGAUGGGAGGCUUUGAAGCGAUUCUUUUGGGAGUCGUGGAGCCGUCAGUGAAAUACCAUCCUUUGUUUAUGCGUCUUCUAACCAGUAUGGAAAAACCAUAUCGAGACAGUAUCUGGCAGGUAGUUUUAGUGGGGCGCUAUCCUCCUAAAAAGUAACGGAGGAGUUUAAAGGUUCUCUAGGCGCGGAUGGAAACCGUGCCGAUAGUGUAAUGGCAUAAGAGAGCUUGACUGUGAGACGUACAUGUCAAACAGGCGCGAAAGCGGAACAUAGUGAACCGAUAGUUUGCUUUAGACGCAGCUAGAGAUUAACGGAUAAAAGUUACCCUGGGGAUAACAGGCUGGUACCGCCUAAGAGUCCAUAUCGCCGGCGGUGUUCGGCACCUUAACUUUAAGUAGAUACAUACAUACUUAUAACAUCGGGGUGCCUAGAGGAGUAAUCCUCUACAAAAAUAAAUUGGCUAUAUGCUGGAACCCCUAAAUAACCUGAAACUCAGUACAACCCAAACAGUGACUCGAAAGAGUGAGCUGCGUGGUUUGAAAAUGUACUUGAGAGGGCAAUCAGCAGGAAAGAUCUCUACGUUCAUGGACGAUGAAUACGAGAAAUCCUCAGAGACUACACGCCAAUCCCCUGUGGAACACACAGGGUGAAGAUAUAGUCCGAACCUGUCAGUAAUGGCAGUAUAAAAAUUAUUACAAUUGACCAAGUAAUGUGAACCAUGGUGGGAAGUUGAACACCCAUCAAACGACAGCGAUGUCGGCUCACCUUAUCCUGGGGCUGGAGCAGGUCCCAAGGGUUUGGCUGUUCGCCAAUUAAAAAGGUACGCGAGCUGGGUUCAGACCGUCGUGAGACAGGUUGGUCGUAAUCCGCUGCAGGCGUCGAUUUUUGAGAAGAUUUGUUCCUAGUACGAGAGGACCGGAAUGAACUGACCUCUGGUCUAUCGGCUGUUUCACCAGAAGCACUGCCGAGUAGCUAUGUCGGGAAAGGAUAACCGCUGAAAGCAUCUAAGCGGGAAGCCAACUUCAAGAUAAGAAAUCAUUUGAGAUCCGUAGGAGACUACUACGUUGAUAGGCACUAGGUGUACGUACAGCGAUGUACUUAGCCGAGGUGUACUAAUUCAUCGAGGAGUUUCCUGUA
This 3334-nucleotide ribosomal RNA is filed under the name Candidatus Kaiserbacteria bacterium. RNAcentral describes it as "23S ribosomal RNA". It matches the Rfam family "Bacterial large subunit ribosomal RNA". Lineage: Bacteria; Candidatus Kaiseribacteriota. The record is from RNAcentral.